GUGGGGAAUUUUGGACAAUGGGCGCAAGCCUGAUCCAGCAAUGCCGCGUGCAGGAAGAAGGCCUUCGGGUUGUAAACUGCUUUUGUACGGAACGAAACGGUCCUGGUUAAUACCUGGGGCUAAUGACGGUACCGUAAGAAUAAGCACCGGCUAACUACGUGCCAGCAGCCGCGGUAAUACGUAGGGUGCGAGCGUUAAUCGGAAUUACUGGGCGUAAGGCGUGCGCAGGCGGUGCUGUAAGACAGGCGUGAAAUCCCCGGGCUCAACCUGGGAAUUGCGCUUGUGACUGCAGUGCUGGAGUACGGCAGAGGGGGAUGGAAUUCCGCGUGUAGCAGUGAAAUGCGUAGAUAUGCGGAGGAACACCGAUGGCGAAGGCAGUCCCCUGGGCCUGUACUGACGCUCAUGCACGAAAGCGUGGGGAGCAAACAGGAUUAGAUACCCGUGUAGUCC
RNAcentral lists this ribosomal RNA (450 nucleotides) under uncultured bacterium. Its description in RNAcentral is "partial 16S ribosomal RNA". It matches the Rfam family "Bacterial small subunit ribosomal RNA", at positions 354 to 796 of the family's 1533-position model. The record is from RNAcentral.